AAGCCUGAUCCAGCCAUGCCGCGUGAGUGACGAAGGCCUUAGGGUUGUAAAGCUCUUUUGCCGGGGACGAUAAUGACGGUACCCGGAGAAUAAGUCCCGGCUAACUUCGUGCCAGCAGCCGCGGUAAUAA
RNAcentral lists this ribosomal RNA (130 nucleotides) under uncultured bacterium. RNAcentral describes it as "partial 16S ribosomal RNA". It matches the Rfam family "Bacterial small subunit ribosomal RNA", at positions 379 to 526 of the family's 1533-position model. The record is from RNAcentral.